UCAGUCUUCAGAUAUUAGUGACGAUGUGAAAUUAUUUGUGUAAAAUUUUGAGCAAUUUCGUUUGGGUUCUUUUGUAAUUUUGAUAAUUAUUUUAACUCUAUUUUAAUGACCACUUAGGCUUUAAUCCUUUAUUAUUUCCAGUCUUCUCCAGUCCUGUUCUGCAAAACAACACAUUGAUUGCUAAAGAUGCCUGAAAGCCAUGGUAAGAAGAGAAACAGCAUCCUUCGUGAAAUCAUCAAAGAUCUUUCGGCGGGCAAUUACUUAGGCAAAAGUGGAUCUGAAAAGAAGAUAAGUAAGGAUGGGCAAGGAGAUUCUUCCAGCCAAAACCCAGACAAAGCUAGCGACGACUGACACCAAGCCGACGCUUGCGAAAUAAUAAGAAUAAGAUCCAGAUGCUCAUGCUCCUGGAGGUCUGGAGUCACCACCAUAUAUAGUUCUGUACUUCUGUUAGUGAUAGCUUUCUCUCUCUGUUAUUAUAUAUAUAGUUUCUGUACUUCUGUUGGUAAUAGCUUUCUAUCUUAUGUAUGGUUUUAUCAUUGCUUUAAACAACUGAACCGAUUAGUAUAAUUAUCUUAGAACAUACUAAAUCUUUUUAUUCAAAUUUUCCAAAUCUUUAUUUUGAUAGUAGAAUUAUACUAACAAAAAUUUCCAAAAUCCAUCAACAGAAAAUAAUUUUACAUGACAGAUUUAUAAAUACAUCUUCCGUAAUUGAUACGAAAUAAAUUUCAAAAAUCAAAUUAAAUAGUUUAUUUUUCAAAUUAUGGAACCCAAAACAAAAGCUUAAGGAUCCUAAAAAAAUUAAGAUAUGCUGCUUAACAGUAGCAAACACACGGUAUUCUUUAGUAAAAGGCGAAAGAAUAGUUCGCUAUGUAUUCACC
Molecule: long non-coding RNA, 878 nt
Filed under: Zostera marina
Lineage: Eukaryota; Viridiplantae; Streptophyta; Magnoliopsida; Alismatales; Zosteraceae
Description: long non-coding RNA (ZMAR_LNC000319)
Source: RNAcentral